AGAUAGCAAGACUUCGAUCGUUAACAAUAAACCGGUCAGUUUGUUGUCGGAUUCAAGUUAUAACCAGUAGAACAACUUGCAGGUUGUAUCCUAAAACACUUGUUUUAUUCUUUAUUCAUGGUACGAGUUGUUCAUUCAGCAGGUUGCAAUAAUGGCCACCGUGUUAUAUGUAUAUGGCUUGGGCAUACACGAACACAUAUACAUAUUUCGAAUGUAGUCUAUCAAAGCAGAACAUUGCCAUUUAUCCAGCUUGGUAAUACUGGUUCCAGUUUUCGAAUUGGAUCAACACGACCAAUUAUUCAUUUAGGUGGUACAAGACCGAUUACCGAUACUCUACUUAUUGCAGGAAAUAUUGAAUUUCCCAUUGAGUUCCUGUUUAGGAGAACAUGAUAUUUCAUACUAAUUAACAAAAUAUUAUCAUGUGGAAAUAUAUGCAUAUUUGUGCUGCAUUGCGUUAACGUAUUAGAAAAAAACUUGUCACUGUGGUAACUUGGAAGCUGUCUCGCAAUUUUUUUUAUGUUGUCCUCUAGACAUGCCUCUCUCGCUUUCUGCACGUUAAGAACCCUUGCAACAACUCUUUGAGGUCCGUAGGUGGCCUGUUGCAAUGCAAAAUUUCUGUCCCUAACCAAUAUACCCUCAUUUUCCAGUAGCAAUCCAAAGUUUCCCACGACCUUCAUCCCGGACUCUAUUCUCGUCCUGAAGAUGCAUGAAAUAUUUUGAAUAACUUCACCUGACGAACAGGAGAGUUUUAAGUAUAACUAUAAAUCAAUAGAGUAUAAAAACUACCAUUUCCUGCCUUUCAAUUUCGCUAAUACAGCUGGAAGACAUUUUUAUAAUUUUGAGAUAUGAUUUGUCCCAAAAGUAAAGCACCACAAUGUAAACACUUUUCGAGAUAGAGGAAGUGCGAUUUUUUCAAUUUGAAUGUAUUGUCUUAACGAAAUGCACUACGAAAUAACUGAUAGUCCCUAGUGACAGUAGUGUGGACAGUGUAUAGCUUGCAAAUUUGUUUCAAACACCUUCCAAAUUUCUUGAUAUUCCAUGCAUAAAAUAUUAAUUAGGGGGGAUGAAAUUACAUGUUGAAAAAAGAUGGGUUGAUGACUUUAUAGGUAAACUAGUGAUUUGGUCCACUUAAAAAAGGUAAAAAAUUAAUAUGUCUGAAGCUGACCAGCUGAAUUAUAGACCACCUUAAAAAAGAUUUGUCCGUAGUUAAAUUUAAAGCAGAUAUACUUUUUUUUAAAUUUUGAUAAAUCACAGAAGUAGAACUCUAAAAAUGUUUUUAGAUAGUGCAAGUGCGAUUUACUAAUUUGAAUUUAUUGUCUAAAAGAAAUGCACUACGAAAUAACUGGAAGUCCCUAGUGUGGACAGUCUAUAAUUUGCAAAACUUAUUCAUUUAUUUCUUUAUAUUUUAUGCUUAAAAUAUUAAGUAAGGGUAUAAAAUAACAUGCUAACAAAAUUGGGGGGAUGAAUUUUAAGGCAAAGAAGUGAUUUAAUCCAGUAAUAAUCCAAAAAACUAGUAUGUCUGAAGCUGUAAAGCUGAAUAAAAGACCCCUCUUAUUAAAGAACUGUUCAUUCUUAGAGUUAGUGAGUUGGUUGACUUUUUUUUAUAAUUUUGAGAUAUGAUUUGUCCCAAAAGUAAAACACUACAAUAUAAAUUCUUAUUGAGAUAGAAUUGAUAGAGGAAGUGCGAUUUUUUUUUAUUUGAAUGUAUUGUCUAAAUGAAAUACAAUACGAAAUAACUGAUAGUCCCUAGUGUGGACAGUGUAUAACUUGCAAAUUUGUUCCAUACACCUUCCAAAUUUCUUUAUAUUUCAUGCAUAAAAUGUUAAGCAGGGGGAUGACAUUACAUGUAUACAAAAUGAGGUUGAUGAAUUUUGAGGUAAAGUGGGGAUUUAGUCCAGUUAAAAGAAGUAAAAAAUUAGUAUGUCUGAAGCUGUCAAGCUGAAUUAUAGACCCCCUUACUAUAGAAUUGUCCAUAUUUUAAGUAAGCGAGUUUAAAACUUUUUUUUCAUAAUUUUGAGAUAUAAUUUGUCCCAAGACUAGAACACUACAAUGUAAACACUUUUUGAGAUAGAGGAAGUGCGAUUUUUUAAAUUUGAAUUUAUUGUCUUAACUAAAUGCACUACGAAAUAACUGGAAGUCCGUAGUGUGGACAGUGUAUAACUUGCAAUUGUUUUUCAUACAACUUCCAAAUUUCUUUAUAUAUUAUGCAUAAAAUAAAAUGAACAUCGAAACUG
Molecule: long non-coding RNA, 2234 nt
Organism: Mytilus californianus (California mussel)
Lineage: Eukaryota; Metazoa; Mollusca; Bivalvia; Mytilida; Mytilidae
Exons: 2
Source: RefSeq, a predicted model, not a curated record